CGAACCAUUGCUUCAUAUUCUCUCCGCGGCAAUCCAGACUGGUUUCGAACCGUGACCAUCAUAUCCAGAUUCUCCUUCCGCCUUCCCGACCUCACAGCCGCACAAACGACGCGCCGUAUUUGCGCAAUCAUUUCUUCGACGUCGUUAAACGGCACGCCGUCCUCAACGAUACGCCCAAUUACAGUCAACAUCCUGUCGAUGACUCCAACCCCGUUCUCGUCAGUUUCCGUAAACAGCCAAAAUUCCAUAUCGCGAAACGUCGCCGUUUUGAAAUCGACGUCCACGAUCGGCCGCGUGCGGUCGUCGGAACAGUAAAAGCUUCUGAUCACCUUCCAGACAAUCGAGACCUUCCAGUCGUCGUCGUGUCGCGAUUUUCUUUUCUUCGUGGGAAUUAGGUCAAGAUCAAGAUCGUGGUGGUCGUCGGCGACACAGAUCUGGUAAGCGAAAUCGUAAUCGCAGUGAGUCGCGGAAGGGAAGUACUCUUCUUCGUGAUUGUUGGGAUUUAGGGUUUGCAUCUUUGAAUUGAGAGAGAGAGAGAGAGAGAGAGAGAACCAGUGAGAACGAGAACG
RNAcentral lists this long non-coding RNA (569 nucleotides) under Rosa chinensis. RNAcentral's name for it is "sRNA RchiOBHm_Chr5g0043211". The record is from RNAcentral. Lineage: Eukaryota; Viridiplantae; Streptophyta; Magnoliopsida; Rosales; Rosaceae.